AAAGAUUAAGCCAUGCAUGUCUAAGUAUAAGCAAUCUAUACGGUGAAACUGCGAAUGGCUCAUUAAAUCAGUUAUCGUUUAUUUGAUAGUACCUUACUACUUGGAUAACCGUGGUAAUUCUAGAGCUAAUACAUGCUAAAAACCUCGACUUCGGAAGGGGUGCAUUUAUUAGAUAAAAAACCAAUGCCCUUCGGGGCUCCUAGGUGAUUCAUAAUAACUUAACGAAUCGCAUGGCCUUGUGCCGGCGAUGGUUCAUUCAAAUUUCUGCCCUAUCAACUUUCGAUGGUAGAGUAGUGGUCUACCAUGGUUU
This 310-nucleotide ribosomal RNA is filed under the name uncultured fungus. RNAcentral describes it as "SSU rRNA". It matches the Rfam family "Eukaryotic small subunit ribosomal RNA", at positions 39 to 352 of the family's 1831-position model. Lineage: Eukaryota; Fungi. The record is from RNAcentral.